GCCACAUGAUGUUUCCAUUUUGAAAAGUGAGAGCUUUGCGCAAUGACGACCGUAAAUCUAUCACCCUUGACUGAUGGCU
Molecule: small nucleolar RNA, 79 nt
Organism: Bison bison bison
Lineage: Eukaryota; Metazoa; Chordata; Mammalia; Artiodactyla; Bovidae
Gene: SNORD83
Rfam family: Small nucleolar RNA SNORD83
About the family: U83 (SNORD83) and U84 (SNORD84) are members of the C/D class of snoRNA which contain the C (UGAUGA) and D (CUGA) box motifs.
Source: Ensembl